UACGUAGGGAGCAAGCGUUGUCCGGAAUCAUUGGGCGUAAAGCGCGCGUAGGCGGCUCGAUCAGUCUGUUGUGAAAGUCAAAGGCUCAACCUUUGAAUGCCGAUGGAUACUGUCGAGCUAGAGUCCGGAAGAGGCGGGUGGAAUUCCUGGUGUAGCGGUGGAAUGCGCAGGUAUCAGGAGGAACACCAACGGCGAAGGCAGCCCGCUGGGACGGUACUGACGCUAAGGCGCGAAAGCGUGGGGAGCGAACAGG
RNAcentral lists this ribosomal RNA (253 nucleotides) under uncultured bacterium. RNAcentral's name for it is "partial 16S ribosomal RNA". It matches the Rfam family "Bacterial small subunit ribosomal RNA", at positions 524 to 776 of the family's 1533-position model. The record is from RNAcentral.